UGGGAAUUUUGGACGAAUUGGGCGAAAGCCUGAAUCCAGCAAUGCCGCGUGUGUGAAGAAGGCCUUCGGGUUGUAAAGCACUUUUGUCCGGAAAGAAAUCCUUGGCUCUAAUACAGUCGGGGGAGUGACGGUACCGGAAGAAUAAGCACCGGCUAACUACGUGCCAGCAGCCGCGGUAAUACGUAGGGUGCAAGCGUUAAUCGGAAUUACUGGGCGUAAAGCGUGCGCAGGCGGUUUGCUAAGACCGAUGUGAAAUCCCCGGGCUCAACCUGGGAACUGCAUUGGUGACUGGCAGGCUAGAGUAUGGCAGAGGGGGGUGAGAAUUCCACGUGUAGCAGUGAAAUGCGUAGAGAUGUGGAGGAAUACCGAUGGCGAAGGCAGCCCCUGGC
RNAcentral lists this ribosomal RNA (389 nucleotides) under uncultured bacterium. RNAcentral describes it as "partial 16S ribosomal RNA". It matches the Rfam family "Bacterial small subunit ribosomal RNA", at positions 356 to 734 of the family's 1533-position model. The record is from RNAcentral.